Molecule: long non-coding RNA, 2220 nt
Organism: Passer domesticus (house sparrow)
Lineage: Eukaryota; Metazoa; Chordata; Aves; Passeriformes; Passeridae
Exons: 3
Source: RefSeq, a predicted model, not a curated record
UGUUCAGAGAUUCUAUAUGGAAAUGAAGGAAAGGAAAAAUGAAAGGAAAAAGAUGUAGAAUGAAACACAGAAAAAGGAGUUAACAGGAGAAAGGAAUUGCAGCAUAAGUAACCAGGAGGGAAGAGCUGAGCCAGUCCCUGAGAGAAGUCUGGCACACUAUCAAUGCACAAAAGCAGUGCAAUAAGGAAUAAUUCAAUCUAAACAACUUUGCUGUCCUUACUUUCCAAUAACUGCUCAGCCUGUACACCUCAGUUUUGACAGCAGAAAAGAGUUUUAAGGAAAGCAGUGGACACUUCUGUCAGAUCAUGAUCACUGCUCCUCGUGCUCCUCUCGGAAGUCAAACUGAAAGAAUGGGUAGCCAUGCCCAAGCCAUCCCCACAUAUUAAGGAUACAAAAUGAAUGGGAAAGAAAGGUUACAUCACACACUGCUAACUAUCAUGGUAGUUACAACUGAAUUAGAUUUCCAGCAGGACAGAAAGCAAAGCAAACAGAAAUGACAUAUAUAUGAAUACUAUAAAUAACCUACUACUGAUGAAGUGAUUUGUUCUGACUGGCUCACUUGACAUCAAGCGUGGCACAUUAUCUUGGCAAGUAUCUCAUUAGUCUUUGCAGGAGAAGCCUGGACUGUCAAGAGAAAGGGAAUACUUGCUACUCUUGAAAUGCAGUAUAUAGGGUAAAGUAGAAGAAAAUAAAAAAUCCUGCAGACACCACAUAUUUUCUUACAUUCUUUUUCUCUCUUAUCACAGCAUUUCCUUCAGUGAAAUAAGCAAGAUAAUUACAUCAUAGAAUAAAAUUAAAAUUCAAAUUUAAAUUCAAUUAAUUCAAUUAAGUAACUUCACUUUUAAAAAGCCACACAAAACUGUGAAGGAAGUAAAAGCUCCUCCAGCCCUCUCCUUUUGUUCUCUGAUUUCCAUUGCAUUCCAUUAAACCCUUCAACUUGCAAUGCUAAAUCACACUCCUGUAUAUGUAUCUCUGUCUCAAAAGAAAACAACUGUACUUCAACCCAUAAUUACUAAUAAUUCAGAAAACUGCAUGAAAAAUAUCUGCUGAUAUGACACCAUAUAUCCUUUAGCAUGAUGCAGUCUUUCACAGAAUCCAGUCAAUUCUUGUAUGAUAUGAGAGAGCAAGGCUCCUUUAUUCUGAGGUACAUUUUUAACUCAGAAAAAUGUGUGGAAGGGAGUGUGGAAAUCUGUAUCUGAACUUAUGGUUCUCAUCUUGAGCAUUGGGUAGAUGGAAAUUGUUCUGUCCUGCAUAGCAACUCCUUGAAUAAAGAUAAUUUGAUAAGGACUUUAUCCUUUAGUAAGAAAUGUUGUGGUAAGAGAUGGCAACAGAAACUUUUAUUCCUUAGUGCUUUCCAGACUUGUCUAGAGACUGACAGGUUUUCUUCUUCAUGAUGCUGCUUACAUUUUAUCACAUUUCUAUUAAAUCCUGAUUUUAUUUGGAAUAGAAACAGGCAUUUCAAAAUUAUUCACAGGGAAAAGUCUGCAAGAAAGGAACUGUCAGCUAAAACAUUCUGAUAAAAUUUGAAUUGACGCUGCUUCACGCUGUUGGGAUUAUUCCACCUUAAGUACUGUUAUGGUGACAUUGAAGAAUUAUUCUUUCACAAAGCCUUUACAUAUCAACAGAAGUUGGUUGAAAGAUGAAUUCACUGAAGCUUCUUGGGCUGAGCUCCAAUAUUUUUCUGUCUACAGCCUCAGUUCUUCUCUUACACAUUCGAAUGAAUAUUGUUUCACAGGAGAUACUGAAAGAAGCAUGGACUCCAUAGCAGUAAACUUAUAAAAAUAAAUAGGAGUGAAUGACUGAUUCUAGCUGAGCUGUAAAAAAAAAAAGUUUGUCAUAGCAAGUGUGAAUGCUGUGCAGAGGAAGGAACUAACUUAAGUGGGAAAAGUUACAUGCAUAGUUUUAAGUUUAAAAUAAGUUUUCCAAAAGAAGAUGUCCACAUCAUCUCACAUUUGAAAGGACUUCUCAAGCACAAGGUUAAAUUGCAUCAAAAACUCUGUGCUAUUUGGCAGUUAUGUGCCAAAUGGAAGGGGAUGAACACAAGAGCAACAUGUAACUUGUUGAUACAGGUACUCACCUCGCAAGAGGAAGGCAAAGCUCAUGUGACUCAGACUGAAGGGUUAGCUGGCCACAGAACUCCCACACCCCAGUGAUUUUGUGCAAGGAAGAAGAGCUGAGGCACCUAGAGAAGAGGACAAUGACAGCCUUUCUUUUUAAGGC